AGGUGGCGGACGGGUGAGUAACGCGGUGGGUAACCUGCCUUGUACGUGGGGGACAACAGUUGGAAACGACUGCUAAUACCGCAUAAGCGCACAGCUUCGCAUGAAGCAGUGUAGAAAACUCCGGUGGUACAAGAUGGACCCGCGUCUGAUUAGCUGGUUGGUGAGGUAACGGCCCACCAAGGCGACGAUCAGUAGCCGGCCUGAGAGGGUGAACGGCCACAUUGGGACUGAGACACGGCCCAAACUCCUACGGGAGGCAGCAGUGGGGAAUAUUGCACAAUGGGGGAAACCCUGAUGCAGCAACGCCGCGUGAGUGAAGAAGUAUUUCGGUAUGUAAAGCUCUAUCAGCAGGGAAGAAAAUGACGGUACCUGACUAAGAAGCCCCGGCUAACUACGUG
This 398-nucleotide ribosomal RNA is filed under the name uncultured bacterium. RNAcentral's name for it is "bacterial SSU rRNA". It matches the Rfam family "Bacterial small subunit ribosomal RNA", at positions 93 to 507 of the family's 1533-position model. The record is from RNAcentral.